UCACUACUGCACUUGACUAGUCUUU
RNAcentral lists this non-coding RNA (25 nucleotides) under Callithrix jacchus (white-tufted-ear marmoset). Lineage: Eukaryota; Metazoa; Chordata; Mammalia; Primates; Cebidae. RNAcentral also lists the same sequence under 3 other names. The record is from RNAcentral.